Molecule: long non-coding RNA, 2111 nt
Organism: Heterocephalus glaber (naked mole-rat)
Lineage: Eukaryota; Metazoa; Chordata; Mammalia; Rodentia; Bathyergidae
Source: Ensembl
GGAACCCUUUGCUCCACUUUCCAAGGGAGAAAAUGAGUUGCGUGGUGCUGGGCAGGGGCUGUCUGGUACACCUGGGGCUACAGGGCCAGCUGGUCGUCCUCACCAACCUCUACUUCUGUGUGCUGGGCGGCUCAGCUUUUAUUUGAGUAUCCGAUGCUACAUAUUCCUUCAAAUGCACCAGCCUAGUCCUGGAGUUGGAGUCACUGCUGAUGGGCAGACUGUUGCUGUAGGCUGAUGGCUUUUGGAAAGGUCCUGAGGAGGUUGCCAAUGAAGGCUGAAUGCCAGGGACCCCAUGCAUUCAAAGAGACCUUCCCCCUUCCCAUAUGUUUCCAAGGGGAACCUUGGUGGUUUUCAGACUUGGAUGGCAGAGUAGACUAGAAAUUGAUGCCUGAAAUCUGGCAGGUUCCAGCCACCCUGUACUUGAUGAUUUUUACCACGCAUGAUGUCAUUUGCCCUUUUCAGAGGUCCAAUUCUUAACAGGACAGUGACAAGAUAGUGAAGAGGACACUAAACUAUGCCCUCCUGGGGUUGUUGAAGAAACUGAAGAGGUUUAGCUUGGAUAUGAGAACACUCAGAGGCACAUAUGGCUGUGUUCAGAUGCUAGAAGGAUGGUUAUGGGAAAAGGAAAUUGGGUCUACUCCCCAAGGCCCCCGUGGGUAAAGACAAGGCCUGAGAGUGGAAGCCCUGGAACACUGAUGGUGAACCUUUUAGAGCUUUCAAUGAUACAAACAGCCUACUGUGGCACACGUGCCAUAGCUUCACCACCACUGCCCUAGGAGCUUGAAGCUGGAGCAGCCUCAGAGAUAUGGCUGACAAUCAGGACACCUGGAGCUCUCUUCCUCUGCAGGGCUCAGAGGUGCUGCUCAGCCAAACUGGAAAGCUGUUAUGGACCUUCCAGGGCUGAUGGAAGGGCCUCAGGGAGACUUCAGGCCAGUUCACUGUGUCUAUGAAUCUAUACCCAGUGUCCUCCUCAGCUUGGGGCAUGUUGAGCACAUCUCCCCGCUGCAGCCUAAGCUGCUGUUCACAGUACACAAAAGCAAGCAGUCAUCAUCCCUGCCUACAAGAGAAGGCAAAUACACACAUACACACACACACACAGGUCAGGACACAGUGGAGACCUUGCCACGGGUGCAUACAAGCAGGUCUCACAGGGGAAGUAGCAUGCGGGCGGGGCCUCCAAGGAUGAAUAGGGUUUUGACGGGCAGAGACAGAGAAGGUGUAUCUGGCAAGAGAAACAACAGGAAGACAGUGGGAGUGAUGGGCCAGUCAUAUCUGGGGAGAUGCCUGUUAUGGAGCUGGAGAUGGAGGCUGGACUGGGGCCAGGCUGGAGAGCCUUGGGAGACAGCCGAAGGGUCCUAGCUAUAGAACAUGGGGAACUGGCAGAUGUUUGCAGGCAGGUGAAGGAUAUGAUCAGUAUUCCUUGUAAGAUCACUCCUGCGGACACACAGAUGGUGGCUGGGGAGGUGGGUGGCAGAAACAGGAAGCAGAAAGGCCAGCCAGGGCCAUGGUGGCAGAGGCCAGGCUUGAUGGUAGCCCACAUCCUGCUCACAUAUGGUCACCAUACCCACUGCCAUCAGGACUUGAUGACUGAGUAGAAAGGGGAGCAUUUAAAGAUGAGGCUUGGGUUUCUUGCUUGGGAGACAGGGUGGGUGGUGAUUUCAUUAACCUUUGUCUUUUGGCAAGCAAACCAAAAUACAUGAGGCUCAGGCUGGGUUUACACUUAGUGGAAACCUGAGGAAAGAAGGGAAGGCCCAGGGAGGCCCAGGGAAACAGGAAGAAGCUCUGAGGGGCAGCCAUGAGAAGUCUGAGGUUUGCUGUGUGAGUGCUCUCCUUUAGGGCCUCAGUUUCCCCUGAGUGAGCAGCAAGUGCAGACACGGUAUCCUCACUCUCUGGCAAAGGCCCAGAGCUCUCCUCCGCCUCCUCCUCGCACACCUGGUUCUCACACCCUUGUGACUCUCCAACACACGCUGGUAGGUGGAUAAUGAUGCGUGUUCCAGGGGCCCUACACCAGCCUCAUGACACCCACAGCCCGCCUAGAGGGAGUCAGCGUGAACACCAGCUAGGAUCUUUAGUCCACAGGCCUCAGACCUAGAGACCACUAUAGGUGACCU